UACGGGGGGGGCAAGCGUUGUUCGGAAUUAUUGGGCGUAAAGGGCUCGUAGGCGGCCAACUAAGUCAGACGUGAAAUCCCUCGGCUUAACCGGGGAACUGCGUCUGAUACUGGAUGGCUUGAGGUUGGGAGAGGGAUGCGGAAUUCCAGGUGUAGCGGUGAAAUGCGUAGAUAUCUGGAGGAACACCGGUGGCGAAGGCGGCAUCCUGGACCAAUUCUGACGCUGAGGAGCGAAAGCCAGGGGAGCAAACGGG
RNAcentral lists this ribosomal RNA (253 nucleotides) under uncultured bacterium. RNAcentral's name for it is "partial 16S ribosomal RNA". It matches the Rfam family "Bacterial small subunit ribosomal RNA", at positions 524 to 776 of the family's 1533-position model. The record is from RNAcentral.